Pongo abelii (Sumatran orangutan) is the source of this 148-nucleotide unclassified non-coding RNA. It matches the Rfam family "Metazoan signal recognition particle RNA". From Rfam's summary of the family: The signal recognition particle (SRP) is a universally conserved ribonucleoprotein. The record is from Ensembl. Lineage: Eukaryota; Metazoa; Chordata; Mammalia; Primates; Hominidae.
GCCGGGUGUGGUGGCGAGUGCCUGUAGUCCCAGCUACUCAGGAGGCUGAGGCAGGAGAAUCACUUGAACCCAGGAGGCGGAGGUUGCAGUGAGCCAAGAUUGCACCACUGCACUCCAGCCUGGGUGACAGAGUGAGACUCUGUCUCAA